AUGAAAGUGUUCGAUGGUCCAGAGUGGAGCAGUUUGAAAUUCAAAGCUUUGGAGGGAAAACGGUUUCCAGCAGUUACUACGUGCAAACGUGCAAGGAUCUGGAGCGUCGAGCAUGGAGAACGUGCCAAGUGGAUUGAUCUCGAAGCAGUGUUUUCUGCUGCUUUGCAAUCUAUUGUUCCACAAUCGGUCGUUCUACUGCUGGAUUAUGCUACUCAAUCCACCAUUCUACAAUCAAUCAAUUUCAAUCAUUUUCAUGGUGUUUGA
This is a non-coding RNA of Vicia faba (fava bean), 264 nucleotides long. Lineage: Eukaryota; Viridiplantae; Streptophyta; Magnoliopsida; Fabales; Fabaceae. The record is from the annotation of a GenBank genome assembly.